CGGCGAGCGAAAAGGGAGGAGCCCAGCGCCGAAUCCCCGACCUCCGGUCGCGGGAAAUGUGGCGUUCAGGAGUGAGCGUGCCGGGAUCGGAACGGGCGGCAAGUCCCCCUGACCGGGGCCUGUCCGUAGCGGGUGCGAGGCCCAUAGCCGCCAGUCCCGUCUCGGAUGCGAUCUCCUUGGAGUCGGGUUGCUUGGGAGUGCAGCCCUAAUCGGGUGGUAAACUCCACCUAAGGCUAAAUACCGCCGUGAGACCGAUAGCAAACAAGUACCGUGAGGGAAAGUUGCAAAGAACUUUGAAGAGAGAGUUCAAGAGUACGUGAAACUGCUCAGAGGUAAACGGGUGGGCCCUCGAAAUCCUGUGGCGAGAGGAUUCAGUCUGGCGCCGGGGACUCGGAGUCGAAAAGUCGAGCAGGGCUUCCCGAGACCGGGGCCGUUCGACACCGAGACUUCCUCGGUUCCAGACGCAUUUGUCUCUCGUCCGAAGGACGCUGCAGCCGGUUGGGCAGUGCAAGCGCGUCGGCCUGAAGGGGGAGAGACGGCAGGUUGCCGGAGGCGUGCCUCGUGCGCGUCGCCGGUUGAUAGCCUUCUCCUCGGUGGCUCGACGCCCGACCGUGGUGUCGCGAGGCCCUCACGGGCCUCGACGUCUCCUACCCAGAGUAGCAGGGCAGACGGUCGCAGGCGAAAUCCGCCGUCCCGUCGCACUCCCUCGGAGUGGACGGGCGAACGGAGAGCGCCGCUGGCGAUCGCGGACCUGCGGGGGACAGGAGGCUCGCAGCGAGUAGGUCGGUCACCCACCCGACCCGUCUUGAAACACGGACCAAGGAGUCUAACAUGUGCGCGAGUCAAUGGGUCUUGAACAGGCCCAGGGGCGCAAUGAAAGCGAAGGUCGACUUCGCGUCGACCGAGUCGGGAUCUCCUCCUCUCGAGGGGGGGCGCACCGACGACCCGUCCUAUUCGGCUCGCCGUUUGGGCGGAGUUUGAGCGUACACGUUGGGACCCGAAAGAUGGUGAACUAUGCCCGGACAGGACGAGGCCAGAGGAAACUC
This 1046-nucleotide ribosomal RNA is filed under the name Encolpius sp. C WPM-2015. RNAcentral describes it as "eukaryotic LSU rRNA". It matches the Rfam family "Eukaryotic large subunit ribosomal RNA", at positions 87 to 864 of the family's 3401-position model. Lineage: Eukaryota; Metazoa; Arthropoda; Arachnida; Araneae; Salticidae. The record is from RNAcentral.